GGGGUUGUAGCUCAGUUGGUAGAGCACCUGAUUGAAGAUCAGGGUGUCGGUGGUUCGAGUCCACCCGGCCCCACCA
RNAcentral lists this transfer RNA (76 nucleotides) under Raoultella phage Ro1. RNAcentral's name for it is "tRNA-Phe". It matches the Rfam family "tRNA". Rfam says of the family: Transfer RNA (tRNA) molecules are approximately 80 nucleotides in length. Their secondary structure includes four short double-helical elements and three loops (D, anti-codon, and T loops). Lineage: Duplodnaviria; Heunggongvirae; Uroviricota; Caudoviricetes. The record is from RNAcentral. RNAcentral also lists the same sequence under 1 other name.